RNAcentral lists this unclassified non-coding RNA (263 nucleotides) under plant metagenome. RNAcentral describes it as "partial contains small subunit ribosomal RNA, internal transcribed spacer 1, and 5.8S ribosomal RNA". The record is from RNAcentral.
UUUCCGUAGGUGAACCUGCGGAAGGAUCAUUAUUGUAUAGCCGAGGUGCGAGGGCUGUCGCUGACCCGAAAGGUCGUGCACGCCCGAGUGCCCUCACACACAUCCAUCUCACCCCUAUGUGCACCACCGCGUGGGUCCCCCUUUGGCUUGUUCGGAGGGGGGCUUACGUUUUCACACAAACUUUGUAUGCAGUGUAGAAUGUAUUUUUUGUUUUUGCGAUCACGCAAUCAAUACAACUUUCAACAACGGAUCUCUUGGCUCUC